AGAGUUUGAUCCUGGCUCAGGGUGAACGCUGGCGGUGCGCCUAAUGCAUGCAAGUCGAGCGAACCUGUGACUUCGGUCACACAUAGGUUAGCGGCGGACGGCUGAGUAACACGUGAGUAACUUGCCUUUUGGUGGGGUAUAGCCCAGAGAAAUCUGGAUUAAUCCCGCAUAAGAUCUUAGAACCCUGGUUCUUUGAUGAAAGCCUUCGGGCGCCGAAAGAGAGGCUCGCGGACUAUCAGGUAGUUGGUGGGGUAAUGGCCUACCAAGCCUAAGACGGUUAGCUGGUCUGAGAGGAUGAUCAGCCAGAGGGGGACUGAGACACGGCCCCCACUCCUACGGGAGGCAGCAGCAGGGAAUCUUGGGCAAUGGACGAAAGUCUGACCCAGCGACAUCGCGUGGGGGAUGAAGGCCUUAGGGUUGUAAACCCCUUUUAUAAGAGAAGAGUAAGGACGGUACCUUAUGAAUAAGCCCCGGCUAACUACGUGCCAGCAGCCGCGGUAAUACGUAGGGGGCGAGCGUUACCCGGAAUCACUGGGCGUAAAGAGAGCGUAGGCGGUUUGGAAAGUCAUUUGUGAAAGCUCCUGGCUCAACUAGGAGAGGUCAAGUGAAACUUCCUGACUUGAGGACGGUAGAGGUAAGCGGAAUUCUUGGUGUAGCGGUGAAAUGCGUAGAUAUCAAGAAGAACACCAGAGGCGAAGGCGGCUUACUGGGCCGUUUCUGACGCUGAGGCUCGAGAGCGUGGGUAGCAAACAGGAUUAGAUACCCUGGUAGUCCACGCC
RNAcentral lists this ribosomal RNA (779 nucleotides) under marine metagenome. RNAcentral's name for it is "bacterial SSU rRNA". It matches the Rfam family "Bacterial small subunit ribosomal RNA", at positions 8 to 801 of the family's 1533-position model. The record is from RNAcentral.